AACGAACGCUGGCGGCAUGCCUAACACAUGCAAGUCGAACGAGACCUUCGGGUCUAGUGGCGCACGGGUGCGUAACGCGUGGGAACCUGCCCUUAGGUUCGGAAUAACUCCCCGAAAGGGGUGCUAAUACCGGAUAAUGUCUUCGGACCAAAGAUUUAUCGCCUUUGGAUGGGCCCGCGUUGGAUUAGCUAGUUGGUAGGGUAAAAGCCUACCAAGGCGACGAUCCAUAGCUGGUCUGAGAGGAUGAUCAGCCACACUGGGACUGAGACACGGCCCAGACUCCUACGGGAGGGAGCAGUGGGGGAUAUUGGACAAUGGGGGAAAGCCUGAUCCAGCAAUGCCGCGUGGGUGAUGAAGGCCUUAGGGUUGUAAAGCUCUUUUACCCGGGAUGAUAAUGACAGUACCGGGAGAAUAAGCUCCGGCUAACUCCGUG
RNAcentral lists this ribosomal RNA (433 nucleotides) under uncultured bacterium. RNAcentral describes it as "partial 16S ribosomal RNA". It matches the Rfam family "Bacterial small subunit ribosomal RNA", at positions 29 to 507 of the family's 1533-position model. The record is from RNAcentral.